This 431-nucleotide ribosomal RNA is filed under the name Leptoiulus proximus. RNAcentral describes it as "partial 16S ribosomal RNA". It matches the Rfam family "Archaeal large subunit ribosomal RNA", at positions 1907 to 2592 of the family's 2987-position model. The record is from RNAcentral. Lineage: Eukaryota; Metazoa; Arthropoda; Diplopoda; Julida; Julidae.
AUAGUUUCUUGUGCUUAUUAAAUAAGAAAUUACGCCUGCCCCCUAGAAAGACUUAAAGGGCUGCAGUAUUGUGACUGUACAAAGGUAGCAUAAUCAUUAGCCUGUUAAUUAGGGGCUGGUAUGAAUGGCUAAACGUAGGAAGACUAUUAUUAAUUAGUAAUUGAAAUUUUCUUUUGAGUUAAAAGACUUAAAUAAUAAUAUAAGACAAGAAGACCCUAUUAAAGUUUAUUAUUUUAUUGAUCAAUAUAAUAAAUAAAUAAAAUCAAGGUUAAAAUUUAGCUGGGGCGGCAUAAUACUAAAACAGUAUUUAUUUAAAAUAAUUUAUUUAGCUUUAAUUAUUAUGGGCCUAAAAGAUAGCUACAAGAAUUAGUUACUAUAGGGAUAACAGCGUUAUGCUAUCCCCGAGCUCUUAUCAACAAUAGUGUUUGCGA